GACGAACGCUGGCGGCGUGCUUAACACGUGCAAGUCGAACGGGAGUAUUGAAGAAGCUUGCUUUAGAGAUACUUUAGUGGCGGACGGGUGAGUAACGCGUGAGGAGCUGUCCUAUGCAGGGGGACAACAGCUGGAAACGGCUGCUAAUACCCCAUAAGCCGAGAGGUAAAAGGAUCAAUCCGGCAGAGGAGGUACUCGCGUCCUAUCAGCUAGUAGGUGAGGUAACGGCUCACCUAGGCGAAGACGGGUAGCCGGCCUGAGAGGGCGAACGGCCACACUGGAACUGAGAUACGGUCCAGACUCCUACGGGAGGCAGCAGUGGGGAAUAUUGGGCAAUGGGGGAAACCCGUGACCCAGCGACGCCGCGUGGGUGAAGAAAUCCUUCGGGAUGUAAAGCCCUGUUGUAUGGGAAGAGCGGAAGACGGUACCAUACGAGGAAGCCCCGGCAAACUACGUG
RNAcentral lists this ribosomal RNA (457 nucleotides) under uncultured bacterium. RNAcentral's name for it is "bacterial SSU rRNA". It matches the Rfam family "Bacterial small subunit ribosomal RNA", at positions 28 to 507 of the family's 1533-position model. The record is from RNAcentral.